CUCUCUCUUAAAGGGCAGCACUCUACUCUCUCCUCUAGUUCUGUUUCCCUCCCACCUUCUUUGGUUAAUAACCCCCUCGUCCUUCCUAUUGUGUUUUUAUACCCCACCUCCUACAGACUGUAAGCUUGCUUGAGCAAGGUUCUCAUAAACCCAUUGUUCCUGUAACAUUUUGUAUUUGUCUCAUUUAUUGUGAAAUUUCCCCUUUUUAUAAUAUUGGAAAGCCCUGCAGAAUAUAG
Pelobates cultripes (western spadefoot toad) is the source of this 236-nucleotide non-coding RNA. The record is from the annotation of a GenBank genome assembly. Lineage: Eukaryota; Metazoa; Chordata; Amphibia; Anura; Pelobatidae.